Molecule: ribosomal RNA, 504 nt
Filed under: uncultured bacterium
Lineage: Bacteria
Description: partial 16S ribosomal RNA
Rfam family: Bacterial small subunit ribosomal RNA
Source: RNAcentral
GACGAACGCUAGCGGCAGGCUUAAUACAUGCAAGUCGAGGGGCAGUAUGAUUGUAGCAAUACAAUUGAUGGCGACCGGCAAACGGGUGCGGAACACGUACACAACCUUCCAACAAGUGGGGGAUAGCCCAGAGAAAUUUGGAUUAAUACCCCGUAACAUAGCGAUGUGGCAUCACAUUGCUAUUAUAGAUUUUUCGCUUGUUGAUGGGUGUGCGGCUGAUUAGAUAGUUGGCGGGGUAACGGCCCACCAAGUCUACGAUCAGUAGCUGAUGUGAGAGCAUGAUCAGCCACACGGGCACUGAGACACGGGCCCGACUCCUACGGGAGGCAGCAGUAAGGAAUAUUGGACAAUGGACGCAAGUCUGAUCCAGCCAUGCCGCGUGAAGGAUUAAGGUCCUCUGGAUUGUAAACUUCUUUUAUAAGGGACGAAAAAAGGCUUUUCUAAGUCGUCUGACGGUACCUUAUGAAUAAGCACCGGCUAACUCCGUGCCAGCCGCCGCGGUAA